Molecule: ribosomal RNA, 368 nt
Filed under: uncultured organism
Description: bacterial LSU rRNA
Rfam family: Bacterial large subunit ribosomal RNA
Source: RNAcentral
CUUGACUGUAGCUUGAAAUUGGGUUCGGGCUCUUCUUGCGCAGCCUAGGUGGGAGGCUAUGAAGAUUUCCUUCCGGGGAAGUUGGAGCCAUCAGUGAGAGACCACUCUGGAGAGGCUAGAAUCCUAAUGGUGAUCCUUGAAUCAGGACACUUGACAGUUUCAGGUGGGCAGUUUUUCUGGGGCGGAAGCCUCAUAAAGGGUAACUGAGGCGCGCAAAGGUCCCCUCAGUCUGGACGGAAAUCAGACAACGAGUGUAAAGGCAAAAGGGGGCUUGACUGCAAGACCUACAAGUCGAGCAGGAGCGAAAGCUGGCCUUAGUGAUCCGGCGGUACCGUGUGGAAGGGCCGUCGCUCAACGAAUAAAAGUUA